CUGACUAAAAAAAAAAAAAAAAAUCAGAGACCUUCCAUUUUUCCCUAGAAAUAACAUGCAGAAUUUUACCAAACCCUAACUCGAAAACACAAGCUUUCCCCUCAAAUCUCGGAGAUAAAAUCUAGUAAACGCAAAAUCAAAACCCUAAUGACUGCAAAAGUGAAAAUUUAAUUAAAUAAAUAAAAUAAAAAUUCCUCAAAAUAUUUUUACAUAAU
This 215-nucleotide unclassified non-coding RNA is filed under the name Hevea brasiliensis (rubber tree). Lineage: Eukaryota; Viridiplantae; Streptophyta; Magnoliopsida; Malpighiales; Euphorbiaceae. The record is from RNAcentral.